AUUUAAAUGUUUCUAUCAUAUCCCCCCUGUCUCGUCUUUCCUCCAAGCUAUACAUGUUAAGAUCCUUUAACCUUUCCUGGUAAGUUUUAACCUGCAAUCCAUGAACCAGUUUAGUAGCCCUUCUCUGAAUUCUCUCUAAAGUAUCAAUAUCCUUCUGAAGAUACGGUCUCCAGUACUGUGUACAAUACUCCAAGUGAGGUCUCACCUGUGUUCUGUACAAUGGCAUGAGCACUUCCCUCUUUCUACUGCUAAUACCUCUCCCUAUACAACCAAGCAUUCUGCUAG
Molecule: non-coding RNA, 285 nt
Organism: Pelobates cultripes (western spadefoot toad)
Lineage: Eukaryota; Metazoa; Chordata; Amphibia; Anura; Pelobatidae
Source: the annotation of a GenBank genome assembly